GUGGGGAAUCUUGCGCAAUGGGCGAAAGCCUGACGCAGCCAUGCCGCGUGAAUGAUGAAGGUCUUAGGAUUGUAAAAUUCUUUCACCGGGGACGAUAAUGACGGUACCCGGAGAAGAAGCCCCGGCUAACUUCGUGCCAGCAGCCGCGGUAAUACGAAGGGGGCUAGCGUUGCUCGGAAUUACUGGGCGUAAAGGGCGCGUAGGCGGACAGUUUAGUCAGAGGUGAAAGCCCAGGGCUCAACCUUGGAAUUGCCUUUGAUACUGGCUGUCUUGAGUACGGGAGGGGUGAGUGGAACUCCGAGUGUAGAGGUGAAAUUCGUAGAUAUUCGGAAGAACACCAGUGGCGAAGGCGACUCACUGGCCCGUUACUGACGCUGAGGCGCGAAAGCGUGGGGAGCAAACAGGAUUAGAUACCCCGGUAGUCC
This 425-nucleotide ribosomal RNA is filed under the name uncultured bacterium. RNAcentral describes it as "partial 16S ribosomal RNA". It matches the Rfam family "Bacterial small subunit ribosomal RNA", at positions 354 to 796 of the family's 1533-position model. The record is from RNAcentral.